RNAcentral lists this ribosomal RNA (497 nucleotides) under uncultured bacterium. RNAcentral describes it as "partial 16S ribosomal RNA". It matches the Rfam family "Bacterial small subunit ribosomal RNA", at positions 29 to 507 of the family's 1533-position model. The record is from RNAcentral.
AAUGAACGCUGGCGGCAUGCCUAAUACAUGCAAGUCGAGCGAACGGACGAGAAGCUUUCUUCUCUGAUGUUGUCGGCGGACGGGAGAGUAACACGUGGAUAACCUACCUAUACGACUGGGAUAACUUCGGGAAACCGGAGCUACUACCGGAUAAUAUUUUGAACCGCAUGGUUCAAAAGUGAAAUACGGUCUUGCUGUCACUUAUAGCUUGAUCCGCGCUGCAUUAGUUAGUUGGUAAGGUAACGGCUUACCAAGGCAACGAUGCAUAGCCGACCUGAGAGGGUGGUUGCACACCUGGGAUCUGAGACACGUCCGCGACUCCUGCGGUAGGACGCAGUCGGGAAUCUUACGCGAUGGGGGAGAGCGUGACGGUGCAACGCCGGGUGAGGGAUGAAGGUGCUCGGCUCGUAAAACGCUGUUAGUAGUGAAGAACAUAUGUGCAAGUAACCGUGAUGAUAUUGACGGUACCGAAUCAGUAAGCCCCGGCUAACUACGUG